Molecule: long non-coding RNA, 312 nt
Filed under: Salvia miltiorrhiza (redroot sage)
Lineage: Eukaryota; Viridiplantae; Streptophyta; Magnoliopsida; Lamiales; Lamiaceae
Description: long non-coding RNA (SMIL_LNC010590)
Source: RNAcentral
GAGAUUCUAGCAUUAGCUUAUUAGGGAUGAGAAUUUUUUUUAAAUAAGAUUGAGAUGUGAGUAUUUUAGAAGUUGAUGAUAGAACUAGUGGGUGAAUCUUUAAUAGAAUGAGUUUUUGAUAGAAAUGCUGAUUAAAUUGAGGAGAUGAUGUAGUUUAUGUUUCCGAUAAAGGAAGCUUAAUUAUUUUUUGAGACGAUUUAUAGUGUUAAGUUAAGAGGAUACCUGGCUAGAUAUAGAGCCGAGGUGAGUGAGUGAGACUUACUAUAGAGAUGAGUCGAAUUCAUGAGACAAUUAAAUUGUCGUUAGAUUUUG